UGGGGAAUUUUGGACAAUGGGCGAAAGCCUGAUCCAGCAAUGCCGCGUGUGUGAAGAAGGCCUUCGGGUUGUAAAGCACUUUUGUCCGGAAAGAAAUCCUUGGCUCUAAUACAGUCGGGGGAUGACGGUACCGGAAGAAUAAGCACCGGCUAACUACGUGCCAGCAGCCGCGGUAAUACGUAGGGUGCAAGCGUUAAUCGGAAUUACUGGGCGUAAAGCGUGCGCAGGCGGUUUGCUAAGACCGAUGUGAAAUCCCCGGGCUCAUCCUAGGGCAACUGGCAAUUGGCUGCAUGCUGGCAGGCUAGAGUAUGGCAGAGGGGGUAGAAUUCCACGUGUAGCAGUGAAAUGCGUAGAGAUGUGGAGGAAUACCGAUGGCGAAGGCAGCCCCCUGGGCCAAUACUGACGCUCAUGCACGAAAGCGUGGGGAGCAAACAGGAUUAGAUACCCUGGUAGUCCACGCCCUAAACGAUGUCAACUAGUUGUUGGGGAUUCAUUUCCUUAGUAACGUAGCUAACGCGUGAAGUUGACCGCCUGGGGAGUACGGUCGCAAGAUUAAAACUUAAAUGAAUUGACGGGGUCAUAGCUGUUUCCU
This 592-nucleotide ribosomal RNA is filed under the name uncultured bacterium. RNAcentral describes it as "partial 16S ribosomal RNA". It matches the Rfam family "Bacterial small subunit ribosomal RNA", at positions 355 to 1375 of the family's 1533-position model. The record is from RNAcentral.